Molecule: long non-coding RNA, 564 nt
Organism: Rattus norvegicus (Norway rat)
Lineage: Eukaryota; Metazoa; Chordata; Mammalia; Rodentia; Muridae
Source: Ensembl
CCUUUCUUGACUCUCUCUCUUCUUUUUGUCGUUCGCUUUCCCAUCUCUCUCUUCUCAGGGCCUGGUUUAGUCUGCUACUCUCUCCCUGCUCUGGACUCUUCCGGAUGUCCGGAUGUCUCUAGCUGUACUCUCCCUCGUAGCGACAAUAAAAUCACUCUCUCAGCCAUACCUUGGAGCAGUAAUGACCUGAUUUCAAUCAUCGACAGUAAGGGCAGCUCAGAAACAAUGGAUCCAAAGGACUACAGCUUGAAGCCUCUUGACUCAGAAGCCAGAGUACACACAUUUUUCCUCCUCUUGAUGGAGAUGCCUCUCACAGGACCUCUCUGAAUCCGCUUCAUCAGAUGCCGGCUAUCUUGUUCCGACGGUUUUUGCUGGGGAUGAUGGCGAUCUCCUCAUACACGCGCUUGUUGGUGUGGAAGUCAUUACCCAGGUAUUCGGCUGGUGCUGGCUACUCCAUUGUAGUAGCUUAUGGGUAGAUGUCAAUCUUCUGGUUUCCACAAGGACAGCCACUUCAUCGUCCAGGUACCCCGCUCCUCCACAGCCUUUACUUGUACGAAUGCUUCG